Molecule: long non-coding RNA, 3468 nt
Organism: Carassius auratus (goldfish)
Lineage: Eukaryota; Metazoa; Chordata; Actinopteri; Cypriniformes; Cyprinidae
Source: Ensembl
AUGUGGUGGUCAGAUGGUAUUUGUCCGUUUUCUGGAGCAUCAGACGGUCAGAUGGUGUUUGUCUGUGUUCUGCAGAUGAGCAUCAGAUGGUCAGAUGGUGUUUGUCUGUGUUCUGCAGACGAGCGUCAGACGGUCAGAUGGUGUUUGUCUGUGUUCUGGAGCAUCAGACGGUCAGAUGGUGUUUGUCUGUGUUCUGCAGACCAGCGUCAGACGGUCAGAUGGUGUUUGUCUGUUUUCUGGAGCAUCAGACGGUCAGAUGGUGUUUGUCUGUGUUCUGCAGACGAGCGUCAGACGGUCAGAUGGUGUUUGUCUGUGUUCUGCAGACGAGCGUCAGACGGUCAGAUGGUGUUUGUCUGUGUUCUGCAGACGAGCGUCAGACGGUCAGAUGGUGUUUGUCUGUGUUCUGGAGCAUCAGACGGUCAGAUGGUGUUUGUCUGUGUUCUGCAGACGAGCAUCAGAUGGUCAGAUGGUGUUUGUCUGUGUUCUGCAGACGAGCGUCAGACGGUCAGAUGGUGUUUGUCUGUGUUCUGGAGCAUCAGACGGUCAGAUGGUGUUUGUCUGUGUUCUGCAGACGAGCGUCAGACGGUCAGAUGGUGUUUGUCUGUGUUCUGGAGCAGCAGACGGUCAGAUGGUGUUUGUCUGUGUUCUGCAGACCAGCGUCAGACGGUCAGAUGGUGUUUGUCUGUGUUCUGGAGCAUCAGACGGUCAGAUGGUGUUUGUCUGUGUUCUGCAGACGAGCGUCAGACGGUCAGAUGGUGUUUGUCUGUGUUCUGCAGACGAGCGUCAGACGGUCAGAUGGUGUUUGUCUGUGUUCUGCAGACGAGCGUCAGACGGUCAGAUGGUGUUUGUCUGUGUUCUGGAGCAUCAGACGGUCAGAUGGUGUUUGUCUGUGUUCUGCAGACGAGCAUCAGAUGGUCAGAUGGUGUUUGUCUGUGUUCUGCAGACGAGCGUCAGACGGUCAGAUGGUGUUUGUCUGUGUUCUGGAGCAUCAGACGGUCAGAUGGUGUUUGUCUGUGUUCUGCAGACCAGCGUCAGACGGUCAGAUGGUGUUUGUCUGUUUUCUGGAGCAUCAGACGGUCAGAUGGUGUUUGUCUGUGUUCUGCAGACAAGCGUCAGACGGUCAGAUGGUGUUUGUCUGUGUUCUGGAGCAUCAGACGGUCAGAUGGUGUUUGUCUGUGUUCUGCAGACGAGCAUCAGACGUCAGAUGGUGUUUGUCUGUGUUCUGCAGACGAGCGUCAGACGGUCAGAUGGUGUUUGUCUGUGUUCUGCAGACGAGCGUCAGACGGUCAGAUGGUGUUUGUCUGUGUUCUGCAGACGAGCAUCAGACGUCAGAUGGUGUUUGUCUGUGUUCUGCAGAUGAGCGUCAGACGGUCAGAUGGUGUUUGUCUGUUUUCUGGAGCAUCAGACGGUCAGAUGGUUUUUGUCUGUGUUCUGCAGACGAGCGUCAGACGGUCAGAUGGUGUUUGUCUGUGUUCUGGAGCAUCAGACGGUCAGAUGGUGUUUGUCUGUGUUCUGCAGACGAGCAUCAGACGGUCAGAUGGUGUUUGUCUGUGUUCUGCAGAUGAGCAUCAGACGGUCAGAUGGUGUUUGUCUGUGUUCUGCAGACAAGCGUCAGACAGUCAGAUGGUGUUUGUCUGUGUUCUGCAGAUGAGCGUCAGACGGUCAGAUGGUGUUUGUCUGUUUUCUGGAGCAUCAGACGGUCAGAUGGUUUUUGUCUGUGUUCUGCAGACGAGCGUCAGACGGUCAGAUGGUGUUUGUCUGUGUUCUGGAGCAUCAGACGGUCAGAUGGUGUUUGUCUGUGUUCUGCAGACGAGCAUCAGACGGUCAGAUGGUGUUUGUCUGUGUUCUGCAGACGAGCUUCAGACGGUCAGAUGGUGUUUGUCUGUGUUCUGGAGCAUCAGACGGUCAGAUGGUGUUUGUCUGUGUUCUGCAGACGAGCGUCAGACGGUCAGAUGGUGUUUGUCUGUGUUCUGCAGACGAGCGUCAGACGGUCAGAUGGUGUUUGUCUGUCUUCUGCAGACGAGCGUCAGACGGUCAGAUGGUGUUUGUCUGUGUUCUGCAGACGAGCGUCAGACGGUCAGAUGGUGUUUGUCUGUGUUCUGCAGACGAGCGUCAGACGGUCAGAUGGUGUUUGUCUGUGUUCUGCAGACGAGCGUCAGACGGUCAGAUGGUGUUUGUCUGUGUUCUGGAGCAUCAGACGGUCAGAUGGUGUUUGUCUGUGUUCUGCAGACGAGCGUCAGAUGGUCAGAUGGUGUUUGUGUUCUGCAGACGAGCGUCAGAUGGUCAGAUGGUGUUUGUCUGUCUUCUGCAGACGAGCGUCAGACGGUCAGAUGGUGUUUGUCUGUGUUCUGCAGACGAGCGUCAGACGGUCAGAUGGUGUUUGUCUGUGUUCUGGAGCAUCAGACGGUCAGAUGGUGUUUGUCUGUGUUCUGCAGACAAGCGUCAGACGGUCAGAUGGUGUUUGUCUGUGUUCUGCAGACGAGCGUCAGACGGUCAGAUGGUGUUUGUCUGUGUUAUGCAGAUGAGCGUCAGACGGUCAGAUGGUGUUUGUCUGUGUUCUGCAGACGAGCGUCAGACGGUCAGAUGGUGUUUGUCUGUGUUCUGGAGCAUCAGACGGUCAGAUGGUGUUUGUCUGUGUUCUGCAGACGAGCAUCAGACGGUCAGAUGGUGUUUGUCUGUGUUCUGCAGACGAGCUUCAGACGGUCAGAUGGUGUUUGUCUGUGUUCUGGAGCAUCAGACGGUCAGAUGGUGUUUGUCUGUGUUCUGCAGACGAGCGUCAGACGGUCAGAUGGUGUUUGUCUGUGUUCUGCAGACGAGCGUCAGACGGUCAGAUGGUGUUUGUCUGUCUUCUGCAGACGAGCGUCAGACGGUCAGAUGGUGUUUGUCUGUGUUCUGCAGACGAGCGUCAGACGGUCAGAUGGUGUUUGUCUGUGUUCUGCAGACGAGCGUCAGACGGUCAGAUGGUGUUUGUCUGUGUUCUGCAGACGAGCGUCAGACGGUCAGAUGGUGUUUGUCUGUGUUCUGGAGCAUCAGACGGUCAGAUGGUGUUUGUCUGUGUUCUGCAGACGAGCGUCAGAUGGUCAGAUGGUGUUUGUGUUCUGCAGACGAGCGUCAGAUGGUCAGAUGGUGUUUGUCUGUCUUCUGCAGACGAGCGUCAGACGGUCAGAUGGUGUUUGUCUGUGUUCUGCAGACGAGCGUCAGACGGUCAGAUGGUGUUUGUCUGUGUUCUGGAGCAUCAGACGGUCAGAUGGUGUUUGUCUGUGUUCUGCAGACAAGCGUCAGACGGUCAGAUGGUGUUUGUCUGUGUUCUGCAGACGAGCGUCAGACGGUCAGAUGGUGUUUGUCUGUGUUAUGCAGAUGAGCGUCAGACGGUCAGAUGGUGUUUGUCUGUGUUCUGCAGACGAGCGUCAGACGGUCAGAUGGUGUUUGUCUGUGUUCUGGAGCAUCAGACGGUCAGAUGGUGUUUGA